This is a long non-coding RNA of Lycium barbarum (goji berry), 1369 nucleotides long. RefSeq lists it as uncharacterized. The transcript is spliced from 2 exons. Lineage: Eukaryota; Viridiplantae; Streptophyta; Magnoliopsida; Solanales; Solanaceae. The record is from RefSeq and is a predicted model, not a curated record.
UUCUGUAAAGAAUCCAACAAAUGAUGGAAAGUGCAUCAUCUCUACUUUUUUUUGAAAGCUGCAAACAUAAUCCUUUUAGGUAUCAAUAGCAACAUAAUUCAUUUUUAUGAACCACCAACCACGGUUUUCUUCAGGAAACGUAUAACCCCUAUCACGAAGAAACAUAGCGCAUCUUGCUCUAUACUUCGAUUUCACUGUUCUGUUUUGUCGCGUUAUUUAAUUCGGACUUUCUUCAUAUUAAAGUAAGGAGGAAGAAGAUUAUUUCUUGGAAUAUAAGACCUGCGAGCUCGAGAAGUAGACGUUGGACAUUAGAUAGAGUUCAAGGUAUGUGAGGCUAGUCCUUUCUUUCUAUGGCAUGAAUCUUAUAGCUUGACUCUCUUUUUAUCCAUGAGUUUCCUUAAGUUCUGAAAAAUAUGAGUCUAUGUCCAUAAUUAGCCACACAAGGUAAUGAGUAAAGUAUAGAAAUCCCAAAACUCAUGUUGUGAUGAUCCUAUGAUAUUAAUGAUGCUAUUUAUUGCUUACACUCACCUUAUAUGCUAAUUCCUUCAAGGUGAAACAGGAUGUCAAUGAAUGUUCCAUAAUGACGUCGGAAGCCACCGAACUUACGUCGCUCCGAUAUAGCUAUGGCUUUUGAUUGGGCUCUUAUGCAUGCUUUAUAUAUAUAUAUAUGUAUGUAUUUUCUCACACCGCGCCGCGCUAUAGUCGGCCGGGCAGGCACGUAGAUGUGCACACCACUAUAGUGGGCAGCUUAUACCCCGGACGCGGGAGACCUGGACGCAGGCUAUGAUUAUUACACCGCUCCUACAUGGACGGGCAGCUUAUACAUUAUCACAUCGUACCUAUAUGGACGGGCAACUUAUAUAUGUAUAGAUACAUGACAUGAUAAUGAUUAUGAGUAAGUCAGCAUGCAUUAUUUCAGUUAUACUUGAUAGCCAGUACAUAUUGCUCUUUCUUGAUGCCUCCUUAUCUCAUUGAUACCUUCAUAUUUCAUUGAUAUAUUGUUAUUGUUUAUGCCUCUCAUACUCAGUACAAUAUUCGUACUUACGUCCGUUUUCUUCGGACGCUGUGUUCAUGCCCACAGGUAGACAGGGAGGUGAGCUUGAUCCAGAUUCUUAGUAGCUGUCAGCUGAUUGAGAGCACUCCAUUGUUCGGAGGUGCUUAUGUUUAUUCUUUUGGUUCCUUUAUGUAUUUCGCACACGACGGAGUCCUGUUCCGUCUAUAUGUAUAAUAUGUCAGUAGAGGCUCGUAGACGCGCAGUGUGGGUUAGAUGGUCUCACAAGAUGUUAUAUUUGUAUAUGUUAUUUUGAUGGCCGAGAGGCAAAUGUAUAUAAGUAUUUAUGUUUCUAUAUAAAAUAUGAUUUUCCUACAA